This 254-nucleotide unclassified non-coding RNA is filed under the name uncultured fungus. Its description in RNAcentral is "sequence contains ITS2". The stretch from base 1 to 52 matches the Rfam family "5.8S ribosomal RNA", at positions 103 to 154 of the family's 154-position model. The record is from RNAcentral. Lineage: Eukaryota; Fungi.
AACGCACCUUGCGCCUUUUGGUAUUCCGAAAGGCAUGCCUGUUUGAGUGUCAUGUAGACUCAACUCUCGAGAGGUUUCUUGCGAGUUGGAUUUGGGUGUUGCCAUUUGGCUCGCCUUAAAAGUGUUAGUGGUUUAAGCACUUGAUCGGACGUGAUAAGUUUCGUCCGGCCGUGUGUCGUCGACCGCUCCUAAACCGCCUUGCGGCGCUCUUUGACUCUGACCUCAAAUCAGGUAGGACUACCCGCUGAACUUAA